Molecule: ribosomal RNA, 341 nt
Filed under: Salmonella enterica subsp. enterica serovar Goldcoast
Lineage: Bacteria; Pseudomonadati; Pseudomonadota; Gammaproteobacteria; Enterobacterales; Enterobacteriaceae
Description: partial 23S ribosomal RNA
Rfam family: Bacterial large subunit ribosomal RNA
Source: RNAcentral
CGCGGCAAGACGGAAAGACCCCGUGAACCUUUACUAUAGCUUGACACUGAACACUGGUCCUUGAUGUGCAGGAUAGGUGGGAGGCUUUGAAGCGCGGACGCCAGUUCGUGUGGAGCCAUCCUUGAAAUACCACCCUUUAAUGGCUGGUGUUCUAACGUAGACCCGUGAUCCGGGUUGCGGACAGUGUCUGGUGGGUAGUUUGACUGGGGCGGUCUCCUCCUAAAGAGUAACGGAGGAGCACGAAGGUUAGCUAAUCCUGGUCGGACAUCAGGAGGUUAGUGCAAAGGCAUAAGCUAGCUUGACUGCGAGCGUGACGGCGCGAGCAGGUGCGAAAGCAGGUC